Molecule: long non-coding RNA, 394 nt
Organism: Amphimedon queenslandica
Lineage: Eukaryota; Metazoa; Porifera; Demospongiae; Haplosclerida; Niphatidae
Exons: 2
Source: RefSeq, a predicted model, not a curated record
AUAUCUAUGGAUGCACACUGAUGAUGGGACAUACUUAUGCUUUCUAACAGCUAGAGAACGGAGAUAUACACUAUAAAGACUUUUCUAGAAGCAUUUUAAGUCGUGGAUAUUGGUCCGGCCUAUAGAUCCGGCAGCGGCCCCUAUAUAGUAUACUGGGGCUUCGCCCCAGUAUACUAAUACACUAUUUUAUAUACAGAUAUCAAGUACAAUCAGCAACGUUGAUGCAGUUGGGUCUUGGUGGUGUAGUGGAGAGGCUGGUGUGGACUGCACGGAUGUGGUCAGUGGUUCCGGUCGGGACUACUAACUAAAACUAUGCUGCAAUGUUUGAUUUUUUUUAAUCACUUUUUUGCUAUUUUUUUCUUUUUUGGCAUUUUUAGGUGAAGAAAUAAACACC